This 429-nucleotide ribosomal RNA is filed under the name Gemmatimonadota bacterium. Its description in RNAcentral is "Gemmatimonadetes bacterium partial 16S ribosomal RNA". It matches the Rfam family "Bacterial small subunit ribosomal RNA", at positions 355 to 776 of the family's 1533-position model. Lineage: Bacteria; Pseudomonadati; Gemmatimonadota. The record is from RNAcentral.
UAGGGAAUCUUCGGCAAUGGACGAAAGUCUGACCGAGCAACGCCGCGUGAGUGAAGAAGGUUUUCGGAUCGUAAAACUCUGUUGUUAGAGAAGAACAAGGACGUUAGUAACUGAACGUCCCCUGACGGUAUCUAACCAGAAAGCCACGGCUAACUACGUGCCAGCAGCCGCGGUAAUACGUAGGUGGCAAGCGUUGUCCGGAUUUAUUGGGCGUAAAGCGAGCGCAGGCGGUUUCUUAAGUCUGAUGUGAGAGCCCGCGGCUCAACCGGGGAGGGUCAUUGGAAACUGGGAGACUUGAGUGCAGGAGAGGAGAGUGGAAUUCCAUGUGUAGCGGUGAAAUGCGUAGAUAUAUGGAGGAACACCAGUGGCGAAGGCGGCACUCUGGUCUGUAACUGACGCUGAGGCUCGAAAGCGUGGGGAGCAAACAGG